UGAGGGCCGUCCACAGAGGUCUUGAAUGCCAUGCUAAGCAUUUGGGACUUUAACCAUUGGCAGUGAAGGCCCCAGUGUCCCAGGUGACCACUUCCUGACAGUUGUUUCCAGGCUGUUCCAAGCUCCUUACUUGGUCACCACCCACCUGACCUGGCCAGGACUGACUGUCCCACAAGGGCUCCCAGCUCCCACAGAAAGAACCCUGCCCCAACUUCUUCCAGUACACACCCAGAACAACCAGACUCUCAACUGCAGGCCAGGACGACUCUAGACUGAGCACAGUCACGCUCACCUGAUGGCUCAGUUCCCAAAGCGGGCCAGGCCCCUCCGAAGGCACAAAGCAGAGGUUGGACUCCCCAGAGACGUUCUCCCCAUCAGCCACUGUGCACCUAGCUCUGUGAAAAAUGAAAGGAGGUAUAGCCCUGGCCAGUGUGACUCAAUUGGUUGGGCGUCGUCUUGUGCACUGACUGACAGGUCGCCAAUUCGAUUCCCGGUCUUGGCAGGAAGUGGCCCAUUGAUGUUUCUCUCUUGCAUUGAUCUUUCUCUCUUUCUCUCCACCUCCAUUCCCCUUUUCUAAAGAUCAAUAAAAAGAAUAUAUUUAGAAAAAAAAUAAAGGAAGUAAUGUACAUCGAGGGGAAAUUAGAGCAUUUACAUAAGCAACAAGAGAAAAUUUCAGUGACCCACCAUCCCACCAUCUAGAGCUAGCAUUAAGUGUUAACAAUUUGUAUAUCUUUUGCAAACGCUUCUAUGUGUUCCAUGUUUUCCUUACAAAGUAGAAUCAUAUUGUACAUAUUGUUUGCACUUACUUAUUUCACUUAUCAGAUUAUGGACAUGUUUAAAUGUCAUUACAUACUCUGACAGCAUCAUUUAAAAUGAAUAAAUAAUGUUCUAUCUUAUAGUCAAUUCCCUAAUAAUGGACAUUUAGGUUGUUUCCCAUUUUUUUGAUUCUAUAAACAGCUCUGUGGUGAAUCACCCUGUAAUAUAACUUUUCACAUGCGAGUGAAUAUAUCCUAAGGGUAAAUUCCUAACCUUGGGAUUGUUGGGUUCGACCACCCAGCUCAUAAAAGGCCUUGAGUACCUGCCAAGAGAUUGCAGUGGCAAUCAUUGAGGCUGGAGGCAAUCCGGUAAAUAGCACCUCUUUUCUCUCCACUGGUUCUAAUGCAGCUGAGCCAGACACAGGAUAUGUCAGGCAGAUAGAGAUUAAAACAUCCCUCUCAUUACUAAUGAAGACUAGUUUGGAGGACAUGGCUUAGAAGUACAGUGACCAUUGGCUUCCUAAUACUGGACCCUACAAGUGAUCAGGUCGUGCUGUUCUCAUGGGGAGUUGGAGUUUCAGAUACUAGGGAGCGACAUGUUUCACGAUCGUGGGUGAGUCCAGUUUGGCACUGCACAAACCUCAGCAGACAGCUGCCCAUUCCACCUGCUGCAGUGACCUGCCCCACCACAAGGUGAAAAGUCAGACUUGACUCACGAACAGGACACAUUCACGGAAUUUCACCACCAACAACACAAGGUUGGCAGCCAACACUGCCUCAUACUGGGAUGGACCAACAGUCGGCUCAGGUGCCUGGGGGUUUCCAUGGGACUUGGUGAAGUCAGAGUGGGGAUAAGGCAUCAUGACAGCACACCGCACGUCCCUGAUGGCAUUGCUGCCACCAGCACCUCUCGGGCUCCACGAACUCACCCAGAAGGCUUCUGAGCAUGAGCCACCUCUUCUGGGAAGCCCGUUCCUCCCCUUCCCAGCCAGCCGGCCACUCCUUGCUUUGUGCCCCGCCUUGAACACCUUGUCAGUUUCUAUUGGUAAGCCUUGGGGGUUGGGGGAAUUCUGGCUCCCAUUCAUCUGUGCAACCCAGAAAUAAUUGUUGAAUGAAUAAUUAAGAAGAAAUCAGGGGAUUUUGAAAACAACAAUUUUUCAGAGAAAAUAUCUUACAUAAGCUCUUUGGAUAUAAUGAGUCUCCUAGAAAGAGAAGGGUGAACAUUUUCCUCGUCUCCUAAUGUCUUUAAAAAAACAAAAAGGAAAACCAUAAUACCAGGAGGCCUCAGAAAAGGUUCAGGCUUGGGGGGAAAGUACACGGUGAUUGAUUAGUCAUGCCUGCUGGGGACAGGGCUGGGAGGAGGGCAGCACUUUUGCCUGACAGCUGGCAUCUCUCUUAAACCCUUAACCAGAGACCAAAUUAGUGAAAAUGCAGCUUGCACGGUGAAGUAUGGCCUUUUCUCCAACCUUUAAUUGGGAUGUUUAGCAAAUAUGUUUUACUAUUAAAAUGGAAAUGGGGUGGAAAAUAGACUUCAUUCUAUAAUCCAUAUUGAGUAUAUAUUGGUAUCCUUAUCAACAGAAAAGAUGUUUUUAAUGAACAAGAAGGAAAGCAACCCUCUCUCUCUGAACGACUGAUAAUUCUUCCCAGUUAGAGAAGGCUAGCUGAUGGCAGUCCAGGGGACACCAGAGACCUCCUGUACGGGUGGGUCAGUGUCCUGGUUAGUUCGUGGCCUUAAAAUCAGAACACCUAUGUUUUUCUCCCAACGCUUGUUUUUUAAUGUUUAAAAAAUCCUUGUGAGAGAGAGACAUCAAGUAGCCGGUGCCCUGACCGGGAAUCAAACCAGAGACUUUUCAGUUCAUGGCACGAUGCUCCAACCAACCAAGCCACACCAGCCAGGACUUUUUUUUUUAAUUUGAAGGAAUAGUAUGAUAAACAGUAUAUACUCUUUUUCUUCACUGUGAUUCACCAACUGUUAGCAUUGUUGUCACAUGCCCUCUUCUCUCUCUCUCUCUCUCUCUCUCUCUCUCUCUCACACACACACACACACACACACACACACACACAUUUUCAUUUUGCUGAACCAUGUAAAAGUAACUUUCAGACAUCACGACACUUCACCCCGGUCUUCACCCCAAAUGCUUCCGCUGCCUUUCCUGAGAACAAGGGCAUUCUCCUACUUAAUUACCAGGCCAUUAUAUCACAAUCAAGAGAUUUAACAUUAAUACAAUAAUAUCCUGCCUCAGAAAACGGAUAUUAAUUCAAUAAUGCCAUCUACUAUUCAGCACUUAUUUAAUUUUCCUCAAAUGCCCCAAGAAUGACUUUUAUAACUUGAAAAAAAAAAUCUAGGCGCCGAUGUGUUACAGUUGAUUGCUAUAUCCCUUUUAAUUUAGAGCAGCUCCCUGCCUUUUUAUGUCUUCACGACUGACUGUUUUUGAAAGAAAACAGACCGCGUGCUUUGUGGAACGGCCCACGUUCUGGAUUUGUUUGUGCGUUUCCUCGGGGUUGUAGUAAAAUGAAACACGUGCGGCAGGAAUACCACAGGUGUUGCUGUGUGCUUGUGACCGCACCCCACUGGGGACACAUCAAGUCUGGCCGUCCCACGGUCGGAUGCUAAGUUUAAUCCCUUGGCUAAAAAGGUAGUGACCACAAGAUCUCACUGUUCCAGACACAUUUUCCCUUUGUGGCUGGUAAGUAAUCUGUGAUCCUGCGAGAGCAUGUGAAUAUCCUGUUCCCUGCACAAUCUCUCCCCCAGAAAUCUUAGCAUCUGUUGAUGAUCCUUACCCGAGUCAUUGUAAUAGUGAGGAUGGCAAAAUGCUGAUUUUCUAAUUCUAUUGUUCUUCCACAUUGCAGUCCAGAAAACUGUGGGUUGAUUACUUACUCUCUUGUAGUUUUGUCCUACUUAUCUAUAUAAAGGACAUAAUAAGAGAGGGCUGAUGAUAUAAGGAUUCAUCUCGAUAAUGAAUAUGAAAGAACCUUGUAUCACAUGUUUGGUAAUUGAAAGGAAUUACUAUUAUUUACAUUCUGGAGGGGGUGCCGCAAAUAAAACAAACGUAUUCAUCUAAGUUAGUGGUUUCUAAAAGACAAUGAAUAAGUAAGAAGCACAUAAACAAUCCAGUUCAGCAAAUAUUCAUAAGCUUCUGCUGUGUGCCUGACACCGUGCUAGGCUUGGAGACAAAUAGCUCAAAUCGCCGAAUUAAUUCAAUGCCAAAGGGGAGAGAAGAGGUAUAAAAUAGAGAUCAUUGGAAGAAAAAUUAAUUUGUUAAUCAGUUAACUGAUUCGUUCAUUACUUUAUUCACUCCAUAAACAUUUGAUGAGGAGCUAGAGCUACUAAAUCAAGUAAUCUGAGGUCCCUGCCCCAAAAGAGCUUUACAGUUUCUCUCCCUGGGGCACCCCCUGAACUCAGCUCCGGUCUGCCUGAGUCUCAGCCCCGCCCCUUUGCACUACACCAGGGAGAAAAAGUGAUGGCAAGGAGCUGUUGGGGCCGAGCCGUGUUUGCCUCUCAAGAGCGUUUCUGCAUAGUCAUUGCUGGAACGUGGCUAGGGAGUGAGUUCCAAGCCAGCCCACUCCUGAACCCCGUGUCCUCCGGGAACCCAGUAAACUCGGCUGCCAGGAGCGGUCCCCUGAGAGCCUUGCAUCACCUCCUGCAGGUGCAGGCCUGAGCAGGACCGGCAGGCGCGCCCACUGGGCCGUUGCAUUUGUUCUCAGCUGACAUCCUAUCGGGAGCUGGGACUACUCCCCACACUGCCCAUCACCCAUCGGCUUGGUGUUUGCCCCAGUUGGUGCAGUUCCGUUCUUGUCUGACCAGACAGGCUGCUUGCUGCUCUCUUCCCUCAGAUCACAGAGGAAUGGAUAUUGGCAGUAGCGGCCGCGGCUAUCAUCUUUGUACCAAGAGUGUGGUAACCAUGGAGGUUGUGAGGCGGAAGCCUGUCUGGGUGGAUGAAAACUUUGUGGAGAAAGGAAGGAUUUAAAAUGCAUCUGAAGUAAACUAAGACAAGUUGUUUACACAC
Myotis lucifugus (little brown bat) is the source of this 4762-nucleotide long non-coding RNA. RefSeq lists it as uncharacterized. NCBI's taxonomy places the organism in Eukaryota, Metazoa, Chordata, Mammalia, Chiroptera, Vespertilionidae. The record is from RefSeq and is a predicted model, not a curated record. The transcript is spliced from 2 exons.